This 73-nucleotide transfer RNA is filed under the name Sphingobacteriales bacterium. Its description in RNAcentral is "tRNA-Arg". It matches the Rfam family "tRNA". From Rfam's summary of the family: Transfer RNA (tRNA) molecules are approximately 80 nucleotides in length. The record is from RNAcentral. Lineage: Bacteria; Pseudomonadati; Bacteroidota; Sphingobacteriia; Sphingobacteriales.
GCGCCCAUAGCUCAAUGGAUAGAGCAGCGGUUUUCGAAACCGAAGGUUCUAGGUUCGAGUCCUGGUGGGCGUA